AUUGAACGCUGGCGGCAUGCCUUACACAUGCAAGUCGAACGGUAACGGGCCUUCGGGUGCCGACGAGUGGCGAACGGGUGAGUAAUACAUCGGAACGUGCCCGAUCGUGGGGGAUAACGAGGCGAAAGCUUUGCUAAUACCGCAUACGAUCUACGGAUGAAAGCAGGGGACCGCAAGGCCUUGCGCGGACGGAGCGGCCGAUGGCAGAUUAGGUAGUUGGUGGGAUAAAAGCUUACCAAGCCGACGAUCUGUAGCUGGUCUGAGAGGAUGAUCAGCCACACUGGGACUGAGACACGGCCCAGACUCCGGGAGGCAGCAGUGGGGAAUUUUGGACAAUGGGCGCAAGCCUGAUCCAGCCAUGCCGCGUGCAGGAUGAAGGCCUUCGGGUUGUAAACUGCUUUUGUACGGAACGAAAAGCCUUCUUUUAAUCCAGGAGGGUCAUGACGGUACCGUAAGAAUAAGCACCGGCUAACUACGUG
Molecule: ribosomal RNA, 479 nt
Filed under: uncultured bacterium
Lineage: Bacteria
Description: partial 16S ribosomal RNA
Rfam family: Bacterial small subunit ribosomal RNA
Source: RNAcentral